Small nuclear RNA from Cynocephalus volans (Philippine flying lemur), 107 nucleotides. The record is from RefSeq and is a predicted model, not a curated record. NCBI's taxonomy places the organism in Eukaryota, Metazoa, Chordata, Mammalia, Dermoptera, Cynocephalidae.
AUGCUUACUUUGGCAGCACAUAUACUAAAAUUGGAACAAUAUAGAGAAGAUUAGCAUGGCCCCUGUAGAAGGGUGACACACAAAUUCAUGAUGUGUUCCAUAUUUUU